UAGAGAGAAGCUUGCUUCUCUUGAGAGCGGCGGACGGGUGAGUAAUGCCUAGGAAUCUGCCUGGUAGUGGGGGAUAACGUUCGGAAACGGACGCUAAUACCGCAUACGUCCUACGGGAGAAAGCAGGGGACCUUCGGGCCUUGCGCUAUCAGAUGAGCCUAGGUCGGAUUAGCUAGUUGGUGAGGUAAUGGCUCACCAAGGCGACGAUCCGUAACUGGUCUGAGAGGAUGAUCAGUCACACUGGAACUGAGACACGGUCCAGACUCCUACGGGAGGCAGCAGUGGGGAAUAUUGGACAAUGGGCGAAAGCCUGAUCCAGCCAUGCCGCGUGUGUGAAGAAGGUCUUCGGAUUGUAAAGCACUUUAAGUUGGGAGGAAGGGUUGUAGAUUAAUACUCUGCAAUUUUGACGUUACCGACAGAAUAAGCACCGGCUAACUCUGUGCCAGCAGCCGCGGUAAUACAGAGGGUGCAAGCGUUAAUCGGAAUUACUGGGCGUAAAGCGCGCGUAGGUGGUUUGUUAAGUUGGAUGUGAAAUCCCCGGGCUCAACCUGGGAACUGCAUUCAAAACUGACUGACUAGAGUAUGGUAGAGGGUGGGUGGAAUUUCCUGUGUAGCGGUGAAAUGCGUAGAUAUAGGAAGGAACACCAGUGGCGAAGGCGACCACCUGGACUAAUACUGACACUGAGGUGCGAAAGCGUGGGGAGCAAACAGGAUUAGAUACCCUGGUAGUCCACGCCGUAAACGAUGUCAACUAGCCGUUGGAAGCCUUGAGCUUUUAGUGGCGCAGCUAACGCAUUAAGUUGACCGCCUGGGGAGUACGGCCGCAAGGUUA
RNAcentral lists this ribosomal RNA (832 nucleotides) under Pseudomonas azotoformans. Its description in RNAcentral is "bacterial SSU rRNA". It matches the Rfam family "Bacterial small subunit ribosomal RNA", at positions 69 to 896 of the family's 1533-position model. The record is from RNAcentral. Lineage: Bacteria; Pseudomonadati; Pseudomonadota; Gammaproteobacteria; Pseudomonadales; Pseudomonadaceae.